This 313-nucleotide unclassified non-coding RNA is filed under the name Hevea brasiliensis (rubber tree). The record is from RNAcentral. Lineage: Eukaryota; Viridiplantae; Streptophyta; Magnoliopsida; Malpighiales; Euphorbiaceae.
AAAAGAUUCGAGAAGCACAAAAGGCAAUUGAUCUUCCAAAUGUUGUAUGUGUUGAUGCCAUGGGAUUGCAGCUAAAGGAAGAUAAUCUUCAUUUAACUACAGAGGCUCAAGUUAAAUUAGGCCAAAUGUUGGCUGAUGCAUACCUUACCCAUUUUGCACCACAAGAACCUUGUGUUGCUACAUCUUGAGAAAUUUGAUGUAUUAUGUGUGUGUAAACUAAAAAUUAUUUAAUCCUGGCUCAUGAACAUAACGUGAGUGGCUGAGUGUUCAUAUAAGUAUGUUAUUACUUUGAAGUAAGUUUACUCAUUUUCUG